UUUUUUUUUUUUUUUUUUUGGUGACAUACCAUUUUAUUUGAAAGAACUAUGUAGAAAGACCAAGUAUAUUUGUUCAGUCUCAGAUAUUCAACAAACAUUUUCUUCAAUAUGAAUUAAACAAAUCUAUUCCUUCAAAGACAACAAUUGAACUUAAUGGUCAAUGAUAAAAUUUGAACUUUUCAGUAAAACAUUAGGAAUUUGGAAAACAGAGAGCUAUCAUCAUGAGCUCGAUGGCUUCCCAACAUAGAGACUUUUCUGAUGAGAUUAGUAAUGAUAAAAAAUGAAUGAUUUAAUUUUUAGUAUUUUUGAAAAGAAAUAUGUCAUUAUUGGAAGAUCUGCAUCAUUCAAUGAAACAUUAUCCAAAUGAUUAAUCACAUAAAAAGUUACAUUCAAAAUACAAGAUGGACCAAUGGGUUUCAGUGUAAUAGAGCAUGAAAAGUUCAAAGAUGUGACUUCAUUAUCAGCAUUAUGACUAACCUUUAAGAAAGUACCACUUCUCCAGUUUGAGCAUAGUAACAAAGAAAAAUAUUCUUAAUUAUAUAAAAAAACUAUCAAAACACUCUUCAGUUUUCUAACAUUUGUGUUUGAAGCUGGAUUUUCCUCAUAUAUUUAAAUCAAAAUAACAUACUCUGCAACAGAUUGAAUGCGGAGCAGAUAUGAGAAUCCAGGUGUUUUCUAUUAACCCAGAUCGUAUGCUGAUUUGCAAAACUAUAAAAUAACAUCAAUAAUAUCUUUAAAGUUUUCUCUUGUUUUGGAAAAAUAGUUAUUUUUUGUUUUUAAAAAGUUUUUUAUGUUAACAUAUGGCAGGCUUAUUAUUAUUCUUUUUAAAUGAAGUAAUACAUUUUUAAAAAAUUCUUAUAGGAUGGAUAUCAAUAGAUUUGACCUUUGUAAACAAAAGCUUUUUAGGUUCCUUAAUGAUUUCUAAGAAUGAAGAAAUCCCGGAUCAAAAACUUUGAGAAACACUGAUCCAGAUCAAGGAUCAGUCCCUUUCUCAUCUGGGUUUCUUCUCUUGGAAUAGGAAAUUUCUGUCAUUCUCUGCAGCAAUAUUAGGGAAGGCAGGUUCCUUUACAAUCUGCCACAGCACUGCCUCCUAGUGUCUAAUUUAUCAUUCAACGAAAUGAUUUUCUCAAUACCUCUCUGUUUUCUUUCAUGGUAGGCCUGGCUCGUCAAAAUAUAUUUUUCAUAAAACAUUUUCAGCCACAUUCCUGUAAUAAAAUUGCUACUUUAAAACUAGUUUAAAAUUUUGUUUUCACUUCUAUUAAUAUCCACUUUAGAUCUGGUUCAUUGUUCAAAUCCAUUAACAUUUUGUAGCUGAAUUUUCUAUUGGAACAUAACUCUGUAUCACCUGAAAAUUUAAUUUAGAACUCCUAAACUUUAUUAAUAAAAAGUAUUUGAUAGAGUACUGAUGACAGCAAACUUUUUUCACUUUAUCAGAGUGUGAAAGAUUAUCAGUAAUUAACCAAUGUUAUUGGUAUAUUUUUAAUCAAUAGUAGAGCCAAUAACAAUGUUAUUAUCAAUUUCAUAUUCAAUCAUCUUAUGAAGAAGAAAAGAAGAAGAAGGAAGAGGAGGGGGGAGGAAGAGGAGAGGAGGAAGGGGAAGAGGAGGAAGAGAAGAAACAGAUUUCUCUGUUUCUAUUUAGAGAACACAUGAUGGUUUCCUUGUGAUCUCUGUUAUUAUUUCUGAAUUCUUCAAAUAUUUUAAGAGGCAUCAAUGUCAAGCUUUUCAGUAUCUUGUUUCUAGGAAACUUCUAUACUUAUUGCAUACUUUAAAAAAAUAGAACAUUUUCUUGUAGCCUCCCUCCAGAACCUCCCAUUUUAAUUUUUAUUUCUUAACAAUUAACAGUAAUAAUUUUUACAGCCUCUACAAACCAUUCAGUAAACUUGGAUAUAAUAUUUAAAAGAGUUUAUAAUGUUCAUGUUCUUAUUUCUUCCAAUUUGGUCAGCCAAGUUAUCCCAUUGUGACUUAGUAUGAUGUCAUUUUAAGUCUCAUCUAAGAGUAUAAGGCAAUCACUAGGGUAAAGAACUUCUAAGAUGGUCCCCAAUAACCUUUCCUUCCUGAUAUCCAUGCCCUGUGUAAUUCCUUCUUCUUGUGUGUAGGCUUGACUUAACUGUAUCGCUUGUAUUGAAUAAAAUGUAGAAGUGUUGGAAUAUCACUUCUAAGAUUAGCUUAUUAAAAAAAGACAUACUGUCCCACAAUUUCUCUUGGAUUGCUUACCCUUGGGAAAAUCGAUGACCAUAUUAUAUGACAACCCUGUAGAUAAACCUACAGGGUGAAGAGUCAAGUCCUGCCAACAACCACAUGAGUUAGCUUGGAGGCAGAACUUCCUCCUUGUGAUGAAUCUUUCAGGUAAGAUCAUAGACACAGCUGACAGCCUGAGAACAAUCUUAUGAUAGACUUUGAGCCUAUAGUUCUCAGCUAAGUCACAUCCAGAUACUUGACCCACAGAAAACUGGACAAAGACGAUAAGAUAUCCAGGCAGGAAAAUAUAAAAUUCUCUAUGCCAAGAACUACAGCAUCAAUAGUGUUGAAGUCAUGUCUUAAAAUUUAUAUAUAAGGGUAUUAGUCAAAGUGAUUAAAGGUAAUACCUUAAAGUAAUUAAGGGUAAUAGUCAUUGAAGCACAUACAAAUGCUGCAGGGGUUAUUUUAAUAUAGUUUUAUCCAAUUUCUGAAUUUUCAGUGGCUUCUUGUCCUAAUGGAUACGUCAUGGGAACACUAGACUGAAUAAUAUUUAAUUUAUUAAAUAUUAUUUAUAAGGAUUGUUUUUACAGAGACAAUAGUGUUUUCUUGGAGUUAUUUUACUAAUGACAAAACUGAGUCCUCAAGAAAUAAAUAUUGACACUACUGCUAUUUGGUUUGAAUCACUGUUUAUAGCCACACUAACUACACUGAUAUAUGUGUCUCUUUUACUAUCCACUCAGUAACCUCUGAGGUAGUUACCAUGGCCACUUUUUUUUUUUUUUUUAUCAUGGCCACUUUUUAAAAAGAUAUAUUAAGAUUCAGAGAGAUUUAAUAGCUUUUUUGGGGGGGAGAAAUAUCUCAGCUAAUAAGUAGCGACCUAAAGAGCUAACAGUCAGAUUUCAAACCUCAUUUAAACAAUAAGAUUACAAUCCAUAAUUUCAGAUUUAUUUUUUUUCCAUUUUUAAAUUGGGUUAUGUGUAUUCCUAUUGUUGAAUUUUAAGAGUUCUUCGUAUAUGUUGUAUACAAGUCCCUUAUCAGAUAUUUAUUUUGUAAAUAUUUCUCCAGGUAUGAGGCUUGUCUCUUUACCUUCUGGACAGUGUCUUUCACAGAGCAGAAAUGUCUUAUUUUAAUAAAGUUCAACUUGUUGCAUUUUUUUUCUUUCAUGGAUUAUGUUGUUGCUGUGGUUUGUAUCUAAACUCAUUGCCAGGAGCAUUUGAGUGGCUCAGUUGAUUAAGCAUCUCCCUUCAGCUCAGGUCCUGAUCUCAGAAUCAUUGCCUGGGCUCUGUGUUAGGCUCCCUGCCCAGCAGGGAGUCUGCUUCAACAUCUCCCUCUGCUCCUCCUGUGCUCCCCCUUUUGUACACACUCUCUCUCUCUCUCUCUCUCUCCCUCUCUCCUCUCUCUCUCUCUCCCUCCUCUCUCAAAUAAAUAAAUAAAACCUUCUAAAAAAAAAUAAACUCACUGCCAAACUCAAGGUCACUUAGAUUUUUCCUAUGUUGCCUUCCAGAAAUUUUACAAUUUUACAUUUUAUAUUUUUGCUUUAGUUUUUUUAUUUCUAGAAUUCCCUUUUGAUUCUUUUAUAGAGUUUUCAUUUAUCUGCUUAUGUUAUCCAUCUAUUCUUGUAUACUGCCUACUUUUGCCAUUACAUAUCUUAGCAUGUUAAUCAUAGUUAUUUUGAAAUUAUUACAUCUGGAAUUUAAAAUCUUUGCCAUAUGUGGGAUUCUAAUGCUGUUCUAUAUCUUCGCACAGUGGUUUUUUAUUUUUUUUUUCAUUUUCCUUUUUGCCUUUUAGUAUUCCUUAUAAUUUUUGUUUAAAGCUUGGUAUGAUGUUCCAGGUAAAAGGAACUGAGGUAAACAGGCUUUUGAUGUGAAGUUUUAUUUAUCUGGCCAGAAGUUAGCCUGUGUUUACCUUUGUUGAAGCUAUGUCAGAAACUAGAAUUUCCUCUGGUGUAUUAGUGUUUGUCUCCACUGUUGUCUUUGGGCUUCUCUAGUGACUUCUUAAAUAAGGUCUAAGAUUUGUAGUUCUUUCAGUUUUAAUCAUCUAUUAUUGUACAGAU
Molecule: long non-coding RNA, 4231 nt
Filed under: Canis lupus familiaris (dog)
Lineage: Eukaryota; Metazoa; Chordata; Mammalia; Carnivora; Canidae
Description: lncRNA (ENSCAFG00845018364.1)
Source: RNAcentral